GUGAACCGAAUUUUUUGUUUGGUUUGGUUUGGUUUUUUGAUUUAAACUAAAUAUUGCAUAGGCCUAUUCUUUGCUCCAAUAUUAUCAACACAGGAGACUGCUAACCCAAAAAAAAAUGUUGUAAAGACCACAACAAUCUAUGGAUAAGUAAGGAACUAACAUAGACUCCACUAAAAUCAUCAAGCUCUUUUUUUUAUUUUCUUUUAUUCUAUCCUCUUGUUCCUUUUUUGUAAAUCUGAUUUUCUUUUUUAAUCUCUCUCUCUAAAUCUGUCUCUUUUUUGGGUAUGUUUCUUUUCUAGAGAAAUAAAGGAGAAAGAAAUAAAGAAAUAGAGUAGAGACUUCAAAACCUUGGCUUUGACGAACAAAAACAGAGUAGGGACUUCAACCUUUGGCUUUGAUGAAGGAGAAGAACAAAGUCGGGACUUCAACCUAAGCUCUGAAACCAUGUUGAAAUUUAGAAGAAUAAAUAGGAGAAAAGUAGCAAAGCGUCAAAACCUCAUUAGGGCUAUGUUUUAUUCACUUGUGUGGUGUUUAUUACAUAAUACAUAGAACUCCAUAUUUAUAGGAAGAUACAUAAUAUAUAUGGAAUGCUAUCAAUAAAUCAUAAAUUACUCAUCUAUACAAACAUAAAUCAAGUCAGUAAUUUUACUAAUCAAUCACAUAAUUUUUUCUUCAAUAAUUAGCAUAGAUGGACCGUGUGUUCUCUGAAAGAAUAGUGGGGAAUUUUAUUGGGGAGCAGACAUGCUCUACGCUAGUAGCUGAGGACUAGUGAAUCUUGAUAAGAACCUUUACACAAUCUGGUUGCUUGAACAUCUCAAACGCUUUGUCUAUAUCUUGCAAUGAAACUUCAUGAGUCAAAAGCUCAUCAAGAUGGAAUUCCUUGUUUUUGCAUUUGUCGAGCACAUAUGGAAGGUCAGAAUUUAUUGUGAGCCCUCCAAAAAGGGAGCCCUUAAGAGUUCUGCCUGUCAGUAAGGGCAAGAAGUCAAUUGUCACAGCUGCAUUUCCAGAACCUAUCGCUAUUGCUUUUCCUAUUCCCUAACAAUCAUCAACAAACAUCUAACAACCAUCAUUUGCCGAUCACUUAAAUUGCACAAGUAAAAAGAACAAAAGGGAAUAGGUACCAUUUUUGUGGAUUGAAGAGCUUCAUUGACUAAGGGUGCAGCGCCACUGCACUCGAAGCAAUAAUCCACUCCUAAUCCACCAGUCAGGUCUUUCACCAGUUGUGAAAUGGGUUUGUCAAAUUCAUCUGGGUUUAUGAAAUGUGUCAUUCCAAAAGCUUGUCCCUUUUCUCUUCUUUUACUAUUCUUAUCUACACCUAUUAUGGUAGCUGCCCCUUGCAUUCGAGCUCCUUCAGUGGCCUGCAAUUCUUUUAAUUUCCCAUUACAGAAGAAACAACUACUCAACUAAAAAGCAAGAGACCAUUUGAAUGAAACAUACCCCUAACCCAACUGCACCAAGGCCUAAUACAGCCACACUUGAACCUUCUUUAACCUUUGCUUCCUUCCAAGCUGCUCCAAACCCAGUUGAAAACCCACAUGAUAAAAUACUUGCAUAAGGCAGAGGUAUGGUUGGAUCAAUCUUUGCAACGUAGUUGGAAUCAAUAACCAUGUAUUCAGACCAGGUGGAGCAAGUAAACAAGUGGUACAACUUAUGGCCUCUAAUGGACAUUCUUGAGGUGUCAUCUGGCAUUAGACCCUUGAGGUUUAGUGGGAAUUUUAGGCACAGAUUAGUCUCUUGUGAUGUGCAAUUUUCGCAUUCUUGGCACUGUGCAAGGAAGGUUGGGAUCACAACAUCUCCUUCUUUUAGCCCAUUUACUUUGUCUCCUAUGCUCUCCACCACUCUUCAAUUGCACAAUUUACUCCAUUAAUAUUGUCAAUAUUGGAAGCAAUUUUAAAAACAAAACACAGAAAGAGAGCUCACCCAACGCCUUCAUGUCCUAGAACUACAGGGAAAAGUGGCUGAAAAAGGAAAAGUGGCCAAAUAUUAGUCCCUCUAAUGAUCCAAAAAGAAUAAGGGUUAAAAUUAUAUAUAGCGGGGUUGAUAACAUCUGGAAUCGCAAAAGCUUUAAUUAAGUCCUGAUUAAUUUUUUUUAAUUAAUUUUUCAGUCUUUUAAAAUCAAUUCAGAAAAUAAUUUUAAUUAAAAGUGAAGAAUACCCACAAAUGGAAAUCCAUGGGCACGAGAGACGUCAGUGUGACAAAUACUAGCACAAAGCAUCUUGACUCUAACUUCAGAAGAAUUUGGUGGGUCCACUUGUAUCUCUUCCACCUUCAAUUCCUCCCCAACUCCCCAUAUUACUGCAGCUGAAGAAACAUCCCAGAAUUAAUUAUGUCCUAGAGAAAGUUUUUAACAUGAAAACACAACACAUAGGGCUUACCUUUGCAUGUUAUGACCUGUGAGGUGUUGCUGCUCCUUGACAUGGCCAUGGAUUGGAUAGGUGAAGCUUUGAAGAUGGCGUGUUCAAGAGCUGAUUGAUAACGUAGAAAGAGGAAGGACAGGAUUCGUUUCUCCUUCCCUUUCUAAUAAUUGUGCAGAACAAGACAAGUUCUGUUGAGAUGUCAACUGUCAAGUGGAGAAAGAUUAUCAAAUACUCUUUG
RNAcentral lists this unclassified non-coding RNA (2595 nucleotides) under Hevea brasiliensis (rubber tree). Lineage: Eukaryota; Viridiplantae; Streptophyta; Magnoliopsida; Malpighiales; Euphorbiaceae. The record is from RNAcentral.